GUGGGGAAUCUUGCGCAAUGGGCGAAAGCCUGACGCAGCCAUGCCGCGUGAAUGAUGAAGGUCUUAGGAUUGUAAAAUUCUUUCACCGGGGACGAUAAUGACGGUACCCGGAGAAGAAGCCCCGGCUAACUUCGUGCCAGCAGCCGCGGUAAUACGAAGGGGGCUAGCGUUGCUCGGAAUUACUGGGCGUAAAGGGCGCGUAGGCGGACAGUUUAGUCAGAGGUGAAAGCCCAGGGCUCAACCUUGGAAUUGCCUUUGAUACUGGCUGUCUUGAGUACGGGAGAGGUGAGUGGAACUCCGAGUGUAGAGGUGAAAUUCGUAGAUAUUCGGAAGAACACCAGUGGCGAAGGCGACUCACUGGCCCAAUACUGACGCUGAGGCGCGAAAGCGUGCGGAGCAAACAGGAUUAGAAACCCUAGUAGUCC
This 425-nucleotide ribosomal RNA is filed under the name uncultured bacterium. RNAcentral's name for it is "partial 16S ribosomal RNA". It matches the Rfam family "Bacterial small subunit ribosomal RNA", at positions 354 to 796 of the family's 1533-position model. The record is from RNAcentral.